Molecule: non-coding RNA, 30 nt
Filed under: Mus musculus (house mouse)
Lineage: Eukaryota; Metazoa; Chordata; Mammalia; Rodentia; Muridae
Source: RNAcentral
UCUACCUAGGUUCCUCCAAAAUGCCUCUGC